RNAcentral lists this transfer RNA (90 nucleotides) under Dehalococcoidia bacterium. RNAcentral describes it as "tRNA-Ser". It matches the Rfam family "tRNA". Rfam says of the family: Transfer RNA (tRNA) molecules are approximately 80 nucleotides in length. Their secondary structure includes four short double-helical elements and three loops (D, anti-codon, and T loops). Further hydrogen bonds mediate the characteristic L-shaped molecular structure. tRNAs have two regions of fundamental functional importance: the anti-codon, which is responsible for specific mRNA codon recognition, and the 3' end, to which the tRNAs corresponding amino acid is attached (by aminoacyl-tRNA synthetases). tRNAs cope with the degeneracy of the genetic code in two manners: having more than one tRNA (with a specific anti-codon) for a particular amino acid; and 'wobble' base-pairing, i.e. permitting non-standard base-pairing at the 3rd anti-codon position. The record is from RNAcentral. Lineage: Bacteria; Bacillati; Chloroflexota; Dehalococcoidia.
GGAGAGGUGGCCGAGCGGCUUAAGGCGCUAGUCUCGAAAACUAGUAUGCGAGCAAUCGCAUCGCGGGUUCGAAUCCCGCCCUCUCCGCCA